RNAcentral lists this long non-coding RNA (347 nucleotides) under Mytilus galloprovincialis (Mediterranean mussel). The record is from RNAcentral. Lineage: Eukaryota; Metazoa; Mollusca; Bivalvia; Mytilida; Mytilidae.
UACUAUUUAUUAAUUUUCAGUCAAAACAUGAUUGCUAUUUCAAUAUAAUAUAUUAUGUGCAAAGUACACUGAUAAAACAGAAGUACUAGUGGUUAUUUCUCAUCACUUUUAGUUUCAAAUGUAUUAUACUAUCAUACCAUAAAAAUAUAUAAGCUUGUAUAGUGCUUAUUUAAUGAAUGACAAAAAAAUGAUUUAAUGAAACUGUCAUGAUAAAAAACUGUCUUUUACAGAUCAAAAUAACUAUUAAAUAUUAAGCAUAUAAACACAUGACAAAUGCAUAGUACAAAAGUUUAUACAAAUAAAAGAAAUGAUUGUUUAAAGCAGUAAGUAUGGGUUAACAAAUAAAA